Non-coding RNA from Chiloscyllium plagiosum (whitespotted bambooshark), 279 nucleotides. Lineage: Eukaryota; Metazoa; Chordata; Chondrichthyes; Orectolobiformes; Hemiscylliidae. The record is from RefSeq and is a predicted model, not a curated record.
CACCAGUCAGCGGGGAUGUCUCCCAAGAUUAUAUUAGAUCUCCGAGUGAAACAAGUGUAAUGGUUGACCCUUGGAGUAAACACUGGAGAUUAACAGGAGACAAAUCUCUCAAGCUGCACAUAAAUUAUCAUUGGACUUUCGGAAACAGAGCAACCAUUGACAUCUUGAAUCUGAAGACAGUUCUGGUGGCCUAAACUUUUCAAGUAUAACAAUCUGAAGAUGCCCAUCUCCACAUUCCUGGCUUGGAAUCUUCACAAACUAAGGAAAACAUUGCCAUCA